Myotis myotis is the source of this 874-nucleotide long non-coding RNA. RefSeq lists it as uncharacterized. The transcript has 3 exons. The record is from RefSeq and is a predicted model, not a curated record. NCBI's taxonomy places the organism in Eukaryota, Metazoa, Chordata, Mammalia, Chiroptera, Vespertilionidae.
UUUCUGCACACCUGGGGGAGGAGUCCUACCUGUGAGCCCUCCCCAGACGGGCAUCUUAGCCAAGCCUUCCUGUCUAGUUUUUCCUUAUUUUGGACCCUCACCCUGGAGACAGAUUUCUUGUAGAUGGCGUGUAGCUUCUCAGAGGGAUUACUCAUUCCGACCGGGGGAGGACCCCCCCAAUACCUUGUGACUCAUUUGGGGUUUCUGUCGCCUUGCAUAAACUGCUUUUGUUGAGCAGAUUAUUAUUUGGAAACACCUUUGCAAGCCGUCUGGACGGCCAUCACAUGCGAGUUUGGAAAAGGCAGCACCUCUAACCGCUCUCGCUGCUUCCUGGCCCGCCGCCUGCCCCCAGGCUCCCAGGUGGGUCUGCCUAAGACAGAGGCGAGUCAGGAAAAUGGGGCGCCGUCUGCAGAGGCCCAAGACCGCUGUGCCAGUUCCCGCGCGUCAGGGGGACAGCGCUGCCCCCAGCCCCCUGCCUCCCCCGGAAGGCUCUGCUCCUGCUCGCUCUGCUGAAACCUGUCCGCUAAGAAUGGGAUGCAGACUCUUGCCCGGGCAGCCUGCGGUGUGAGGUUUUAACAUGCAGCUGACGAACCACCAAGUCAAAGCAAGGAGGCUUUCACGCAGGCAGACACUUCAGAGUUCAAAAUAUCAAAAGGAACCCUCACCAGACAGGACUGGAUGCUGAAUGUGUGGAAUUCCUUUUGACGGCUGUCAAGGUGAUCCCCUGGUUUUCCUCCUUCGCUGCCUCGUAGGAAUCGCACCACAGGUUUCUUCCUGCGAAAGAACCACCACGGCUGGGCACUGGCGCUCUGCGCGCUGGAAUCCCAAAGCCCUUCUCAUUCUCCUCUGACUCAUUAAUGUUUUCUUGGGUUGU